Molecule: ribosomal RNA, 497 nt
Filed under: uncultured bacterium
Lineage: Bacteria
Description: partial 16S ribosomal RNA
Rfam family: Bacterial small subunit ribosomal RNA
Source: RNAcentral
GAUGAACGCUGGCGGCGUGCCUAAUACAUGCAAGUCGAGCGAACAGAUGAGGAGCUUGCUCCUCUGACGUUAGCGGCGGACGGGGGAGUAACACGUGGAUAACCUACCUAUAAGACUGGGAUAACUUCGGGAAACCGGAGCUAAUACCGGAUAAUAUAUUGAACCGCAUGGUUCAAUAGUGAAAGACGGUUUUGCUGUCACUUAUAGAUGGAUCCGCGCCGCAUUAGCUAGUUGGUAAGGUAACGGCUUACCAAGGCAACGAUGUGUAGCCGACCUGAGAGGGUGAUCGGCCACACUGGAACUGAGACACGGUCCAGACUCCUACGGGAGGCAGCAGUAGGGAAUCUUCCGCAAUGGGCGAAAGCCUGACGGAGCAACGCCGCGUGAGUGAUGAAGGUCUUCGGAUCGUAAAACUCUGUUAUUAGGGAAGAACAAAUGUGUAAGUAACUAUGCACGUCUUGACGGUACCUAAUCAGAAAGCCACGGCUAACUACGUG